Molecule: ribosomal RNA, 425 nt
Filed under: uncultured bacterium
Lineage: Bacteria
Description: bacterial SSU rRNA
Rfam family: Bacterial small subunit ribosomal RNA
Source: RNAcentral
UGGGGAAUAUUGGACAAUGGGCGCAAGCCUGAUCCAGCCAUGCCGCGUGAGUGAAGAAGGCCCUCGGGUUGUAAAGCUCUUUUGUCCGGAAAGAAAAGCAUUCGGCUAAUAACCGGGUGUUAUGACGGUACCGGAAGAAUAAGCACCGGCGAACUUCGUGCCAGCAGCCGCGGUAAUACGAAGGGUGCAAGCGUUACUCGGAAUUACUGGGCGUAAAGCGUGCGUAGGUGGUUUGUUAAGUCCGAUGUGAAAGCCCUGGGCUCAACCUGGGAAUGGCAUUGGAUACUGGCAGGCUAGAGUGCGGUAGAGGGGUGUGGAAUUCCCGGUGUAGCAGUGAAAUGCGUAGAUAUCGGGAGGAACAUCUGUGGCGAAGGCGACACCCUGGACCAGCACUGACACUGAGGCACGAAAGCGUGGGGAGCAAA